AGAGUUUGAUCAUGGCUCAGAUUGAACGCUGGCGGCAGGCCUAACACAUGCAAGUCGAGCGGGGUUUUCGGACCUAGCGGCGGACGGGUGAGUAAUGCGUAGGAAGCUACCCGACAGAGGGGGAUACCAGUUGGAAACGACUGUUAAUACCACAUAAUGUCUACGGACCAAAGUGUGGGACCUUCGGGCCACAUGCUAUCGGAUGCGCCUACGUGGGAUUAGCUAGUUGGUGAGGUAACGGCUCACCAAGGCGACGAUCCCUAGCUGGUUUGAGAGGACGAUCCGCCACACUGGAACUGAGACACGGUCCAGACUCCUACGGGAGGCAGCAGUGGGGAAUUUUGGACAAUGGGGGCAACCCUGAUCCAGCAAUGCCGCGUGAGUGAAGAAGGCCUUCGGGUUGUAAAGCUCUUUUGUCAGGGAAGAAAUCCUUAGUGCUAAUAUCACUGAGGGAUGACGGUACCUGAAGAAUAAGCACCGGCUAACUACGUGCCAGCAGCCGCGGUAAUACGUAGGGUGCGAGCGUUAAUCGGAAUUACUGGGCGUAAAGCGUGCGCAGGCGGUCUGAUAAGACAGUCGUGAAAUCCCCGAGCUUAACUUGGGAACUGCGAUUGUAACUGUCAGACUAGAGUGUGUCAGAGGGAGGUAGAAUUCCACGUGUAGCAGUGAAGUGCGUAGAGAUGUGGAGGAAUACCGGUGGCGAAAGCGGCCUCCUGGGAUAACACUGACGCUCAUGUACGAAAGCGUGGGGAGCAAACAGGAUUAGAUACCCUGGUAGUCCACGCCCUAAACGAUGUCAACUGGUUGUUGGGCCUUCAUUGGCUUAGUAACGAAGCUAACGCGUGAAGUUGACCGCCUGGGGAGUACGGUCGCAAGAUUAAAACUCAAAUGAAUUGACGGGGACCCGCACAAGCGGUGGAUGAUGUGGAUUAAUUCGAUGCAACGCGAAAAACCUUACCUACCCUUGACAUGCCACUAACGAAGCAGAGAUGCAUUAGGUGCUCGAAAGAGAAAGUGGACACAGGUGCUGCAUGGCUGUCGUCAGCUCGUGUCGUGAGAUGUUGGGUUAAGUCCCGCAACGAGCGCAACCCUUGUCGUUAAUUGCCAUCAUUAAGUUGGGCACUUUAGCGAGGCGGCGGGGUGACAAACCGGAGGAAGGUGGGGAUGACGCCAAGUCCUCAUGGCCCUUAUGGGUAGGGCUUCACACGUCAUACAAUGGUCGGUACAAAGGGUUGCCAAGCCGCGAGGUGGAGCCAAUCCCAUAAAACCGAUCGUAGUCCGGAUUGGAGUCUGCAACUCGACUCCAUGAAGUCGGAAUCGCUAGUAAUCGUGGAUCAGAAUGUCACGGUGAAUAC
Molecule: ribosomal RNA, 1355 nt
Filed under: uncultured Ralstonia sp.
Lineage: Bacteria; Pseudomonadati; Pseudomonadota; Betaproteobacteria; Burkholderiales; Burkholderiaceae
Description: partial 16S ribosomal RNA
Rfam family: Bacterial small subunit ribosomal RNA
Source: RNAcentral